RNAcentral lists this non-coding RNA (24 nucleotides) under Cricetulus griseus (Chinese hamster). The record is from RNAcentral. Lineage: Eukaryota; Metazoa; Chordata; Mammalia; Rodentia; Cricetidae.
AAAAGCUGUGGCCUGUUAAAGACU